CUACGGGGUGCUGAAGUGGGGAAUAUUUGACAAUGGGCGCAAGCCUGAUCCAGCAAUGCCGCGUGAGUGAAGACGGCCUUAGGGUUGUAAAACUCUUUCGCUAGGGAAGAUAAUGACUGUACCUAGUAAAGAAGUCCCGGCUAACUCCGUGCCAGCAGCCGCGGUAAUACGGAGGGGACUAGCGUUGUUCGGAAUUACUGGGCGUAAAGAGUUCGUAGGCGGACUGACAAGUUAGAAGUGAAAUCCCAGGGCUCAACCCUGGAACUGCCUUUAAAACUGUCAGUCUAGAGACCGGAAGAGGUUAGGGGAAUACCUAGUGUAGAGGUGAAAUUCGUAGAUAUUAGGUGGAACACCAGUGGCGAAGGCGCCUAACUGGUCCGGUACUGACGCUGAGGAACGAAAGCGUGGGGAGCAAACAGGAUUAGAUACCCUCGUAGUC
Molecule: ribosomal RNA, 439 nt
Filed under: uncultured bacterium
Lineage: Bacteria
Description: partial 16S ribosomal RNA
Rfam family: Bacterial small subunit ribosomal RNA
Source: RNAcentral